CGUGCACCAGUGGGGUCCCUUGGCCUGGCCUGCACUCUCUUGCAAUCCUGGACCCCUCAGGAGAUAUUGGAGAGCUGGUUUGGGCCCGAUCCUGCAGGCCAGGCUGAGGGACCCCACUGGUGCACG
RNAcentral lists this microRNA precursor (126 nucleotides) under Myotis brandtii (Brandt's bat). Its description in RNAcentral is "mir-9193 microRNA precursor family". It matches the Rfam family "mir-9193 microRNA precursor family". Lineage: Eukaryota; Metazoa; Chordata; Mammalia; Chiroptera; Vespertilionidae. The record is from Rfam by way of RNAcentral.